Mandrillus leucophaeus (drill) is the source of this 714-nucleotide RNA transcript. It is a transcript of the gene named 60S ribosomal protein L3 pseudogene, with no coding region annotated. The record is from RefSeq and is a predicted model, not a curated record. The transcript is spliced from 3 exons. Lineage: Eukaryota; Metazoa; Chordata; Mammalia; Primates; Cercopithecidae.
GGAGAAUGGCGUGAUGUCUCACAGAAAGUUCUCUGCUCCCAGACAUGGGUCCCUCGGCUUCCUGCCUUGGAAGCGCAGCAGCAGGCAUCGUGGGAAGGUUAAGAGGUUCCCUAAGGAUGACCCGUCUAAGCCGGUCCACCUCACAGCCUUCCUGGGAUACAAGGCUGGCAUGACCCACAUCGUGCGGGAAGUCGACAGGCCAGGAUCUACAAGAAGGUGAACAAGAAGGAGGUGGUGGAGGCUGUAACCAUUGUGGAGAUGCCACCCAUGGUGGUUGUGGGCAUUGCAGGCUACGUGGAAACCCCUCGAGGCCUCCGAACCUUCAAGACUGUCUUCGCUGAGCACAUCGGUGAUGAAUGCAAGAGGCGUUUCUAUAAGAACUGGCAUAAAUCUAAGAAGAAGGCCUUUACCAAGUACUGCAAGAAAUGGCAGGAUGAGGAUGGCAAGAAGCAGCUGGAGAAGGACUUCAGCAGCAUGAAGAAGUACUGCCAAGUCAUCCGUGGGUUCCUAACCCACAGGCUCUAUCCACUAAUGGGAAAAGGUAAAACCCAGGAAACCAGAGAGCAGCGCCCUGAAACCUGGCGGGACUGGCCGAAUGUCAGAUUAGCCCGAGCAGCUACACUGAACGCUGGGGAAGAUGCACCAGAAUACCGCAGUAGGAGCCAGAUUUCCAAAGGAAGAAAGCUAGGCCCUAGGACUGUGGAGAUUCUGUAG